AGAGUUUGAUCCUGGCUCAGGAUGAACGCUGGCUACAGGCUUAACACAUGCAAGUCGAGGGGCAGCAUGCCGGUUGCUUGCAACCGGUGAUGGCGACCGGCGCACGGGUGAGUAACGCGUAUCCAACCUUCCCGCGACCAAGGGAUAACCUGCCGAAAGGCAGACUAAUACCUUAUGUCCUCCUUUGAAGGCAUCUGACGAGGAGCAAAGAUCCGUCGGUCACGGAUGGGGAUGCGUCCGAUUAGCUUGUUGGCGGGGCAACGGCCCACCAAGGCUUCGAUCGGUAGGGGUUCUGAGAGGAAGGCCCCCCACACUGGAACUGAGACACGGUCCAGACUCCUACGGGAGGCAGCAGUGAGGAAUAUUGGUCAAUGGGCGGAAGCCUGAACCAGCCAAGUAGCGUGCAGGACGACGGCCCUACGGGUUGUAAACUGCUUUUAUGCGGGGAUAAAGUUGCCCACGCGUGGGUUUUUGCAGGUACCGCAUGAAUAAGGACCGGCUAAUUCCGUGCCAGCAGCCGCGGUAAUACGGAAGGUCCGGGCGUUAUCCGGAUUUAUUGGGUUUAAAGGGAGCGCAGGCCGCCGUGCAAGCGUGCCGUGAAAAGCAGCGGCCCAACCGCUGCCCUGCGGCGCGAACUGCGUGGCUUGAGUGCGCCGGAAGCGGGCGGAAUUCGUGGUGUAGCGGUGAAAUGCUUAGAUAUCACGAAGAACUCCGAUUGCGAAGGCAGCCCGCUGUGGCGCCACUGACGCUGAGGCUCGAAGGUGCGGGUAUCGAACAGGAUUAGAUACCCUGGUAGUCCGCACGGUAAACGAUGGAUACCCGCUGUCCGGCCCGUACGGUCUGGGCGGCCAAGCGAAAGCGUUAAGUAUCCCACCUGGGGAGUACGCCGGCAACGGUGAAACUCAAAGGA
Molecule: ribosomal RNA, 910 nt
Filed under: human gut metagenome
Description: bacterial SSU rRNA
Rfam family: Bacterial small subunit ribosomal RNA
Source: RNAcentral